RNAcentral lists this ribosomal RNA (492 nucleotides) under uncultured bacterium. RNAcentral describes it as "partial 16S ribosomal RNA". It matches the Rfam family "Bacterial small subunit ribosomal RNA", at positions 29 to 507 of the family's 1533-position model. The record is from RNAcentral.
AGUGAACGCUGGCGGUAGGCCUAACACAUGCAAGUCGAACGGCAGCACAGUAAGAGCUUGCUCUUACGGGUGGCGAGUGGCGGACGGGUGAGGAAUACAUCGGAAUCUACUUUUUCGUGGGGGAUAACGUAGGGAAACUUACGCUAAUACCGCAUACGACCUACGGGUGAAAGCAGGGGAUCCUCGUACCUUGCGCGAUUGAAUGAGCCGAUGUCGGAUUAGCUAGUUGGCGGGGUAAAGGCCCACCAAGGCGACGAUCCGUAGCUGGUCUGAGAGGAUGAUCAGCCACACUGGAACUGAGACACGGUCCAGACUCCUACGGGAGGCAGCAGUGGGGAAUAUUGGACAAUGGGCGCAAGCCUGAUCCAGCCAUACCGCGUGGGUGAAGAAGGCCUUCGGGUUGUAAAGCCCUUUUGUUGGGAAAGAAAAGCAGCAGGUUAAUACCCCGCUGUUCUGACGGUACCCAAAGAAUAAGCACCGGCUAACUUCGUG